RNAcentral lists this ribosomal RNA (489 nucleotides) under uncultured bacterium. RNAcentral's name for it is "partial 16S ribosomal RNA". It matches the Rfam family "Bacterial small subunit ribosomal RNA", at positions 30 to 506 of the family's 1533-position model. The record is from RNAcentral.
AUUGAACGCUGGCGGCAGGCCUAACACAUGCCAGUCGAACGGUAACAGGAAGCAGCUUGCUGCUUUGCUGACGAGUGGCGGACGGGUGAGUAAUGUCUGGGAAACUGCCUGAUGGAGGGGGAUAACUACUGGAAACGGUAGCUAAUACCGCAUAACGUCGCAAGACCAAAGAGGGGGACCUUCGGGCCUCUUGCCAUCGGAUGUGCCCAGAUGGGAUUAGCUAGUAGGUGGGGUAACGGCUCACCUAGGCGACGAUCCCUAGCUGGUCUGAGAGGAUGACCAGCCACACUGGAACUGAGACACGGUCCAGACUCCUACGGGAGGCAGCAGUGGGGAAUAUUGCACAAUGGGCGCAAGCCUGAUGCAGCCAUGCCGCGUGUAUGAAGAAGGCCUUCGGGUUGUAAAGUACUUUCAGCGGGGAGGAAGGGAGUAAAGUUAAUACCUUUGCUCAUUGACGUUACCCGCAGAAGAAGCACCGGCUAACUCCGU